AAAAAAAUGUAUCUGCAAAAGCGACUCGAAGACGAUUUAGAUUUGUCUCCUGAAUAUAAAACUUCCAAGAAGUACAUCAUAUAUGAAUAUCCUGUAUCCUCGCAUUUGAUGUAUUGAACUGGCGAUAGAAUGAAAUCAGUCAGUGUUAAAAAUGUAUGUGUAAAAGCGACUUUAAGAUGAUGGAGAUUUGUACACUGAACAUAAAACUUCCAAAAUUUGGGGCAGUAUGUCAUAUGUGCAUAAUCUGUAUCCUGGCAUUUGAUGCAAUGAACUGGCGAUAGAAUGAAAUAAUGAAAAAUAGGCAGGCUGUUUGAUGUAUAAGGAAGUGGCGAUAGAAUACUUAUGCAACACUUCACACUUCACGCCCCAAAAAUAGAAUUACGUUCAUUAGAUAUACAACAAUUUUCAUUAAAUAUACUGUUAUUAAUAUGUUAAGAUUGAAUAAUUUGUAAAAAGUUUUCUAGUAU
Long non-coding RNA from Ctenocephalides felis (cat flea), 467 nucleotides. RefSeq lists it as uncharacterized. NCBI's taxonomy places the organism in Eukaryota, Metazoa, Arthropoda, Insecta, Siphonaptera, Pulicidae. The transcript is spliced from 3 exons. The record is from RefSeq and is a predicted model, not a curated record.